GCAAGUCGAACGUGAAGCUCUAGCUUGCUAGAGUGGAAAGUGGCGCAAGGGUGAGUAACACGUGAGCAAUCUACCCCCGACUACGGGAUAGCCCCGGGAAACUGGGAUUAAUACCGUAUGUGGUUCUACCGCUUCAUGGCGGUUUUACUAAAGAUUGAGUUCGGUCAGGGAUGAGCUCGCGGCCCAUUAGCUUGUUGGUGAGGUAACGGCUCACCAAGGCUACGACGGAUAGGGGAGCUGAGAGGCUGACC
Molecule: ribosomal RNA, 251 nt
Filed under: uncultured bacterium
Lineage: Bacteria
Description: partial 16S ribosomal RNA
Rfam family: Bacterial small subunit ribosomal RNA
Source: RNAcentral